This is a transfer RNA of Dichomitus squalens LYAD-421 SS1, 88 nucleotides long. It matches the Rfam family "tRNA". Rfam says of the family: Transfer RNA (tRNA) molecules are approximately 80 nucleotides in length. Lineage: Eukaryota; Fungi; Basidiomycota; Agaricomycetes; Polyporales; Polyporaceae. The record is from Rfam.
GGCCCAAUGGUCUAGUCGUAUGAUUCGCGCUUCGGGUUUUGAACCAUGUAUUUGCGCGAGGUCCCGGGUUCAAUUCCCGGUUGGGCCC